UUUUUUUUUUUUUGCAAAUUUAGUUUCUACACAAAAUCAGACUGCUAGGCCCAUUGCCCCCCAACUGUGAAAUUCUGUGCUUACCACUGGAAACAGAACCCUUUCCCUCCUCUUCAGGUAAUGACAAAUGUGUUCCAGCUAUAAACCACCAAAGCCCUGACCCUCAACCCCCAGAUGAGGCCUGUGUAAAUAGUGCUACGGAAAGGCUCUGAUUUCUCUGCACUAUCAGAUCUGGACAACCUUCCUAUUUCUCAUUCCAGGGUGGAUCAACAGACUGGUUAAUGCUGAAGUCACUGAUAGCAAUUAAACAGGCAAAACUGGGCUGGGCCUCAGAGAAGGAAGAGGGGAGGGGGCUAUGUAGAUUUUCCUUUCUUUAGUGCCAGCACUACAACAUUGGCAUUAGUGUCUACUUUCCUCCUGAUCCCAUUUAGUUUUGGAAGCUAAUAAUAAUAAUAAUAAUAAUAAUAAUAAUAAUAAUAAAACAGUGAAAAGGAGUCAGGUGGAUUGGGAAGUCAAACUCAGAGGUGGAUGUUAAGGUCUAUAGCUUUAGGCAUAAAUGUCUGCCUUUUAUCUGAUAUAAUGGUUUGCAACUCGAAGCAAUUUUGCCCACCUAAUCUCUAUCCCCUGGCCCAUCUGGCAAUAUAUAGAAGCGUUUUUGGUUAUCACAACUUGAGAUCAUAGGGAGUACUACUACCAUCUUAUAGGUAGAGGCCAGAGAUGCUGCUGCUAAACAUGCUACAGUGCACAGGGAAGCCUUCAUGGCAAAGUAUUAUCCAUCUCCAAAUUUAGGAAAACAACACAAGGAAAAAUAAACCCAAAUAUUUAAGAGCCUUUUGUGUGCUAUAUGGUCUGCACAUCUACAUGCACAUACACAUAUAUCAUUUAGUCUUCAUACCAAGUCCACAAAGUGAUGCCCUCUUCCCAGAUGAAAAGUGGGGUCUUCACCCAGCUAGUAACUGGCACAGGAGGAAUUUGAACUUGGCUCUGGGGCUGAUUCUCACUAGACUGUGAGCUCCAUGAGAACAGGUACCUUGCCAACCUUAUUCACCUCCAAGUACCCAGUACCUAGUAGAAUUAGGUAUCUAAUGGAAGUGCAAUAGAGACUUCCUUGCAUUAACAAUGGAUAAUUAAAUGAAUAUCUCAGUCAAUGGCCCUAAAGUACAUGCUCAUUUCUUCCCACCAUUCCUUAAGAAUAAUAAAGAUCCUUACAACAUCUCUCCAGGGUUCCAGUCAGGUCAGUAUGUUGCAUGUCAGAAACAGAAAUCUCCCUAGGCCAAUACAUCAAAAAUGGAAGCUUAUGGUAAGAGUGCAGAGGUACUGUGGAAACAAAGCACAGCCAGAACUUAUGGGCUUGGAAAGCCAUUAGGAAUCAGAGUGCCCUGUGUUCUCUGUCAUCUUUACAUCUUGGUUUUCUCUUCCAACAGAUGACUUGCUUUGUUUAACCAUCUUGCAUAUGGUCCAAUAUAUAAGCCUCAGCAACAUUUUAAUGCUGAAAAUCCCCAUGGUGUCUUAGCUGGGCUUUCCUUAGUUAACUAGUUUAGUCUGUCUAUAUCCCAGCUAUUAUACAUUCUUUAAGGAAGGAUGAGAUCUGUGUAGCCUGAGCUAAACUUCAAGAUGACUCUGGCCCCAGCCAGACAAUUGCAACUUCAUGAGACACCCCUGAGUGAGAGCUGGCUAAAUGAGCCCCAUCGAGCCUAGGGAUCAUGAGCCAUAAAAAUGAUUAUUGUUUUAGCAACUAUUUUUUGGUUGAUUUAUUACACGGAAGGAACUAGAAACAGAUUUUGGUAUGGGGAGGGGUUGCUAUUAUAACAAAAACAUACACUUGUGUCAAAUUAUAAUUCUGCUCCCAAUUCCAAAGUCUGGAGACUAAAUAUAUAUUUCUUACUAUUAAUCACAAUAUUAUAAUUAUCCUUAUGUUUGACCAGCAGGUAGAAGCUAGAAGGGCCUCGAAGAGCAUGUUAGUAGAAGUCUAAAGGGUCUUUAUGAUGGAAGGUGAGGAAAAUGUUACUGGAAGCUGGAGGAAAGGGGACCCCUGUAUGGGUGGUAGAAGUUUUGGUGACACUGUUGUGUGCUGUAAUGUGGAAAAGAAGGAAAUAUUCCAUAAUGAAUAUGAUGAUCUGGCCAACCUGCCUAUAGUAGAAUGCAAACGAGAGAGAGCAGCUGAAAAAAGAAACUUUUGGGGUUUUAGAGCAAAAUUUAGAGGGUAAGUAACGUGGCAGGGUCUUCUGGGUUUGAAAAUAAAAUGACUUCUCAAGCCCAGCAGUUCCAGAGGGCAAACUAUUCUCAAACUGAAAUGACCUUCAGCAAAGUUCACUACUUCAUUAACCCUUUAAAACAGACAAAAUCCAAAAAUAAAAAAUAAAAAAAAAAAAAUAAAACAGACAAAAUCCUUCUAAAGCACUUCAGACUGUGCUUGUCUGUCUUAAUUAAACAACAGGAUGUCCUAGUAGCCUGGAAAAGCACACAAAGUAGAAAGGACUUAAGUGAGCCAAAGAGAUUUAUGGUAAUGGCUUUUUCCUCAAGAGAAGGAACUCCAGGAAGAAUCAUUUAAAAAUUCCUCAAUGUUUCUUAGAAUCAGCCUGAACUAAAAGAGAAGGAAAUAGUGCAAGGUAAAAAAAAAAAAGAAAAAAAAAA
RNAcentral lists this long non-coding RNA (2634 nucleotides) under Canis lupus familiaris (dog). RNAcentral describes it as "lncRNA (ENSCAFG00000054788.1)". The record is from RNAcentral. Lineage: Eukaryota; Metazoa; Chordata; Mammalia; Carnivora; Canidae.